Molecule: ribosomal RNA, 495 nt
Filed under: uncultured bacterium
Lineage: Bacteria
Description: partial 16S ribosomal RNA
Rfam family: Bacterial small subunit ribosomal RNA
Source: RNAcentral
GACGAACGCUGGCGGCGUGCCUAAUACAUGCAAGUAGAACGCUGAAGGAGGAGCUUGCUUCUCUGGAUGAGUUGCGAACGGGUGAGUAACGCGUAGGUAACCUGCCUGGUAGCGGGGGAUAACUAUUGGAAACGAUGGCUAAUACCGCAUAAUAGCAGUUGUUGCAUGACAACUGUUUGAAAGGUGCAAUUGCACCACUACCAGAUGGACCUGCGUUGUAUUAGCUAGUUGGUGGGGUAACGGCUCACCAAGGCGACGAUACAUAGCCGACCUGAGAGGGUGAUCGGCCACACUGGGACUGAGACACGGCCCAGACUCCUACGGGAGGCAGCAGUAGGGAAUCUUCGGCAAUGGACGGAAGUCUGACCGAGCAACGCCGCGUGAGUGAAGAAGGUUUUCGGAUCGUAAAGCUCUGUUGUAAGAGAAGAACGAGUGUGAGAGUGGAAAGUUCACACUGUGACGGUAUCUUACCAGAAAGGGACGGCUAACUACGUG